Molecule: non-coding RNA, 217 nt
Organism: Schizosaccharomyces pombe (fission yeast)
Lineage: Eukaryota; Fungi; Ascomycota; Schizosaccharomycetes; Schizosaccharomycetales; Schizosaccharomycetaceae
Source: the annotation of a GenBank genome assembly
AUCCAUCUAGUCAGUAAUAACAAUAGGAGGAAAGGACAACGUAGCAAACAAAGCAGCUUAAUUAUAAUGCUUCAAACGACAACUAUACCAUUACCAAACUUUAUUUUUAUAAUAGAAAUAUAACUGGUUUUGCCAUUCCAUUUCGAAAAUUUACUAUUUGACUACAUUUAAUCGAAAACCCACUAUAACUCCUUAAAACCGAUAUCCUCAUUAAGGA